GCCGCACCUCCCUGCUGCCCGGCGUGGGAAGAAGAACGCGGAGCCAGCUGGAAGGGAGGAGGCUGGCCAGGGGAGGCAGGAGCCGACGACCCAGAAUAGCAAAGAAGACAGAAGCUAAGCACACCCAGAGCUGCUUUUAGCCGGCAAUGAGGAUCUUCUUGGGAACAAAUGACUCAGCAACCUGAAUCUCUGGGACUGAGUAGCCUAACUGCCUUGAGAGUGAUUGGACGCAUCCACCUAGGCCCUAAAAUUCUGAACCCUGGAAGAGUGGAGAUCCUCUAGAUUCGUCAAGCUGCCAUUCAGUUCAGUUUCUCUCACUCCUGCCCCAAUAGAAGACUCGCAACUCAUGGGGUAAGCAGGCAAUGUUCUAAUUAUGCAUUUUCGUCCUUAAGAAAU
Long non-coding RNA from Bos taurus (domestic cattle), 396 nucleotides. The record is from Ensembl. Lineage: Eukaryota; Metazoa; Chordata; Mammalia; Artiodactyla; Bovidae.